Salmo salar (Atlantic salmon) is the source of this 63-nucleotide non-coding RNA. The record is from Rfam. Lineage: Eukaryota; Metazoa; Chordata; Actinopteri; Salmoniformes; Salmonidae.
CAUCCAAAAUGAAGGCAGGCACAGAAACUACCCUCUAGUGGUGUCUGUCUGAUGUCCGGCUGG